AACUCUCAACAACGGAUAUCUUGGCUCCCGUAACGAUGAAGAACGCACCGAAAUGCGAUACGUAGUGUGAAUUGCAGAAUUCCGUGAACCAUCGAAUCUUUGAACGCAAAUUGCGCUCGAGGCCUCGGCCAAGAGCAUGUCUGCCUCAGCGUC
This 153-nucleotide ribosomal RNA is filed under the name uncultured Trebouxia. Its description in RNAcentral is "5.8S ribosomal RNA". It matches the Rfam family "5.8S ribosomal RNA". Rfam says of the family: 5.8S ribosomal RNA (5.8S rRNA) is a component of the large subunit of the eukaryotic ribosome. It is transcribed by RNA polymerase I as part of the 45S precursor that also contains 18S and 28S rRNA. The record is from RNAcentral. Lineage: Eukaryota; Viridiplantae; Chlorophyta; Trebouxiophyceae.